AACGAACGCUGGCGGCAUGCCUAACACAUGCAAGUCGAACGAGACCUUCGGGUCUAGUGGCGCACGGGUGCGUAACGCGUGGGAACCUGCCCUUAGGUUCGGAAUAACUCCCCGAAAGGGGUGCUAAUACCGGAUAAUGUCUUCGGACCAAAGAUUUAUCGCCUUUGGAUGGGCCCGCGUUGGAUUAGCUAGUUGGUAGGGUAAAAGCCUACCAAGGCGACGAUCCAUAGCUGGUCUGAGAGGAUGAUCAGCCACACUGGGACUGAGACACGGCCCAGACUCCUACGGGAGGCAGCAGUGGGGAAUAUUGGACAAUGGGCGAAAGCCUGAUCCAGCAAUGCCGCGUGAGUGAUGAAGGCCUUAGGGUUGUAAAGCUCUUUUACCCGGCAUGAUAAUGACAGUACCGGGAGAAUAAGCUCCGGCUAACUCCGUG
RNAcentral lists this ribosomal RNA (433 nucleotides) under uncultured bacterium. RNAcentral's name for it is "partial 16S ribosomal RNA". It matches the Rfam family "Bacterial small subunit ribosomal RNA", at positions 29 to 507 of the family's 1533-position model. The record is from RNAcentral.